This 1243-nucleotide long non-coding RNA is filed under the name Homo sapiens (human). RNAcentral describes it as "HSALNT0126288". Lineage: Eukaryota; Metazoa; Chordata; Mammalia; Primates; Hominidae. The record is from RNAcentral.
UGUAGAAUCAGUGGGAGCCCUGAGCUUGUUUUCUUGCAACUAGAUGGUCCCAUCUGGGGUUGAUGGGAGACAGUGACAGAUCAUCAGGCGUUAGAUCUCAUAAGGAGCGGGCAGCCUACAUACCUUUCUUGCACAGUUCACAAUAGGGUUCGUGCUUCUGUGAGAGUCUAAUGCUGCUGCCGAUCUGACAGGAGAGUUUAAUCUGCUUGGCACAGAAGAAGUUAACAUUUCUCAGCCUCCUUAUAGAUAGAUUGGAACCAUGUGACUGAGUUUUGUCAAACAAGAAUGUGAGUGGAAGUGACUGAUGUCUUUCUUCUGGUCCAAGGCUCUACCAUCUGGCUUGCCCCUACGGUCUCUUAUCCCUUUCGUUGACUGUGGAGGCCACAGGAUGAAACAGAAGAGUCCCAAGAUGCAAACAGCCUGGAUCCCUGAGUCACCCUGUGGAGGAGAGGAACCUUGCCCAAUCUGCAUUGAACUUGACAUGAGAAAUAAACAUUUCUAGUCUAACCGGACAAAUACAUAUAGUUAGAAAGUGUAGGAAGGUGAAUUUACUAGAAAACUCAAGAAGUGACCCAGAAUGGAUCAGCAUAGGGUAAGGCUAGGAUACCUCUCAGAAUUCCUGGCAUUGUAUCUUGCAGUUUGGUACAAGAUGGAAGCUGAGAGAGUGGGACAUUUCCACAAUUAGUUCCAUAGUUAAUUUAGAAUAUAAUUUACAUGAGUGUUAGUAAUGUUGGAAGUCAUAUGGCAGAUUUCUAAUUUAAGUACUGAAGUCAUUCUUGCUCAUGAGUUUCUGAAUGUGAUUAGCCUUUAAAUCAGACCUUGAGUAAAACAGAUUACCCUCUACAGUGUGGAUGGGCCUCAUCCAAUCAGUGGAAGGCAUCAAGAGAAAAGGCUGAGGUCCCCCAGAGAAGAAAGAAUUCUGCCUCUAGACUACCCUUGGACUCAGGACCGCAACACCAACUCUUUGCUUGGUCUCUAGCCUGCUGGCUUGCUUUGCUGGUUUAGGACUUUUAGCCCUCAGAAUUGUGUGAGCCACAAGAAAUAUUAAAUAAAACUCCUCCCUUUCUCUGUUUUGUAUAUACAUACACGUAUAUAUGUAUAUUAUACAUAUACACAUAUAUUUAGUGUACAUAUGAAUAUACAAUGUAUAUUCAUAUAUACAUACGUGAGUGUUUAUACAAUGUAUAUUAGUUUUGUUUCUCUGGAGAACCCCGAAUAAUUCAUAUUUGGGUGCAGAAUGGGA